AAGAAGCUGCUGCCGCUGCCGCUGCCGCUGCCGCUGCCGCUACUGCUGCUGCUGCUGCUAUUCAUUGGUAUCAGAGAGGUCUUUAACGGCCUACCACUGAGUUCCAUUCCUCGGAAUCAGAGAGGUCUUUAAUGGUCCACCACUGAGUUCCAUUCCUCUCUACAAAAAUUUCAGAGCACUUGUGAUUGGAUUGGGUGUGGUGGUGCCAUGCCUCCCUCCCAUUCUCUUCUGAUGAACACUUUUCUCUCUUCCUUUUCCACACCCUCCCUCUCUCUUUGCCCCUUCUCUUUCCUCGAAAUGAGGUGGAAGACCAUGUCCGCUGCCAUGAGGAUCAGACGCCCUCUACAGAUCAGAUUUCAAUCCAAAGUACCUGGGCGGGACUCAGAAAUCAUAUUCAUGGGCACAGGAACUAGUGAAGGCAUUCCACGAGUUAGCUGUCUCACCAAUCCUACAAAGGCUUGUCCGGUUUGUUCAAAAGCUCUGGAGCCUGGUAAUAAGAAUAAUCGACUUAACACAAGCAUCCUCAUCUGCUAUUCUAGUUCAUUAGGAAGACAUAACAUUCUUGUUGAUGCUGGCAAAUUUUUCUAUCAUAGUGCUCUUAAGUGGUUUCCAAAAUUUGGGUUAAGAUCCAUUGAUGCUGUCAUUAUUACCCAUUCUCAUGCUGAUGCAAUUGGAGGACUUGAUGACCUCCGUGAUUGGACUAACAAUGUCCAGCCUUAUAUCCCGAUUUAUGUGACAGCACGUGAUUUUGAGGUGAUGAAGAAGACACAUUAUUAUAUAGUUGAUACAAGUGUUGUCACUCCUGGAGCAGCAGUUUCUGAGUUGCAGUUCAACAUUAUAAAAGACGAGCCAUUCGUUGUACAUAAUCUUGAGGUGACUCCUUUACCCGUAUGGCAUGGGAAUGGUUAUCACUCCCUUGGUUUUCGCUUUGGAAAUAUUUGCUACAUUAGUGAUGUUAGUGAGCUACCUGAGGAAACAUAUCCACUCCUCAAUGACUGUGACUUGCUAAUUCUGGAUGCAUUAAGACCUGAUCGUUCAUCUUCUACUCAUUUUGGACUACCUAGGGCCUUAGAGGAAGUGCGGAAGAUUCAACCAAGGAAAACACUUUUCACUGGAAUGAUGCAUCUGAUGGACCAUGAGAAAGUAAACCAGGAUCUAGCGAAGUUACUGGAAACAGAGGGCCUAGAUGUUCAAUUGAGCUAUGAUGGCCUUAGGAUACCAGUGAACCUCGAGGGUUUUGGAUCACGGUGUAAACCAUUAUCUGCAAAAGAAUUUAUAUGAAUCAUGAUUCAGAUGAGGAGAUACACUGACAUGAGGCCCUGAUGAGAAAUAUUAAGAGUUGUCAACUUUUGGCAUGGAAAGCUCAGAAAAUCCUUCAUUAAGUUCAAGGGAAAAAGAAUGUUUGCAAACAAGUUGAUUUGAGGACGAUUAUUUGUUGAGAUUGAUCCAUCAAAAUUUUCAACAGUAGGUUAAAGCAGGUGAAUGUGAAUAUAUGGAACUACGCUCACCAAUCUCUGCAUGACAUCCCCACUCCACAAUUUCCUCUGGGCCACUGUGCCAACUGUAGGGGUGGGUGCAUAAAGUAGGCCCACAAACAGAACAGGGAAAACUUGUCAUAUCACAUAAUUGGAAAAUGUUUUGAGAGGUUUAAAAACCUCAUCAAAAACUGCAAAUCUGGCAUCGGCAAACCUUCAAAUCAAUCA
Amborella trichopoda is the source of this 1703-nucleotide non-coding RNA. Lineage: Eukaryota; Viridiplantae; Streptophyta; Magnoliopsida; Amborellales; Amborellaceae. The record is from RefSeq and is a predicted model, not a curated record.